Long non-coding RNA from Scatophagus argus, 403 nucleotides. RefSeq lists it as uncharacterized. The transcript is spliced from 2 exons. The record is from RefSeq and is a predicted model, not a curated record. NCBI's taxonomy places the organism in Eukaryota, Metazoa, Chordata, Actinopteri, Scatophagidae.
GGAGGAGGAGGAGAAGGAGGAGGACGGUUGUUGGCCGGCAGACUGAAGUGGCCACCAGCCCGUAGUGUUUGUCCGUCCUGGCAGCAGAUGGAAUAAAAAGCUGCAGCUCUGGAAAGUCUUCCCAUCCUGCUGCAGAUGAGAAAUCAGGUCUCGGGCUCAUGGGGAAAAAUACAUAUUUUACAGAACAUGGAGAGGGGACAUGAGGAGCAAAGGAUGGGGUGGAGGGAAUGAAAACUAGCUCUAUGGGACGGCAGCGUUAAGAUGACAAGAGGGGAUGACAGAGCAUCUCCACAAAGCCAGACCGUCUCCUGCAAUCUACUUGUGAAUUAUGGAGUUCGUCCAGUUCAUUGCACUGUGUGUAUAAUAAACAUGCAUGUUCACAUAAAACUUUGUGUGCAUGUAA